GGAUGUGUGGGUGAUCUGGCUGUGGCCUCUGUUACCCCACUGAUCCCCAAGAUUGAUUCAGCUGACCUGGCCGGCUGGUGGGGUCCCCUUCUUCCCUCAGUGCUGCAUGUGCAUCCUUCCCAAAGCUGCACCCUCAGUUGCAGAGGGUGAUCACGGAGAUAAAGGAGAACUGUUCCUCGGUCAAGGGUGUAUGAGCUUCCCGGCUAGAGCCUCCAAGCAAGCUUUCAAGGUCCAUCCUGGCCUUGCACUCAUUAUGUAACCCAGGUUGACCCAAAUGUACAGCAAUCCUCCUU
Molecule: unclassified non-coding RNA, 293 nt
Organism: Cavia porcellus (domestic guinea pig)
Lineage: Eukaryota; Metazoa; Chordata; Mammalia; Rodentia; Caviidae
Gene: 7SK
Rfam family: 7SK RNA
About the family: 7SK was discovered as an abundant small nuclear RNA in the mid-70s but a possible function has only recently been suggested.
Source: Ensembl